GGGGAUUUGGAUUUGGAUUUGGCCAGGAGUGAGCAGAGCGUGGAGCAAACCAGGCAGGUGAGAUGGAGGGGAGGGGACAGCUGGGGACAGACCCUGCCUGGUACCUCGGGCUCAGGCAGGCCUCAGCCCCUCUGUGCUGCUCCUCUGGGGUGCUGUGCAGAGAGCUUUGCCCCAGCAUCCCCUUUGUGCCUCUCAGGAGCCAGGCAGGGCCGGGCAGGAGCAGCCUGUGCACCCUGGGGACACUGACAGCACUAAAGGAGGUGGGUGAGUCCCCAUCCCACAUCCCAGCUGGGCCCCCUUUGGGGGAGGUUUGGAGUAGCAUAGGAACGUGUUCUGAUGGAAUUCAUCUCCCCUGGUGGGGACAUGGGCAAGGGGAGAUGGCCUGGGGGGAGCCAGAGCCCCCCUGAUGCUGGGGGAAGGAUUGGGAGGGUUCCAAAGCAUGGGCAGCACCCCCUGACAGGACAGGAGGGCAGAGGGAGGAGGGAAGGCCCAGGGAAAGCCCUCAUGUGUGGUCUCCUGUGGCCCCACUGCCUUCCUGCAGAUGCAGAAAUCCCGGAGGAGCCGCUGCUGAGCCUCCCCAGUGAGCUCUCAGUGCUGGACAGGCUUGGCUUGCACAGGUAAGAGCAGGGAGCACCUGCAUCCCUCGGGGCAGGGGGGCACAGCAGGGCUCAGAGAUUGGAUUUCCCUCCUUUUCCAUUGCACAAGAGCUGCUGCCCACACAAUGGGCACGUGCCUUCCCCUUCUCAGGGUGGCUGGCACCCCUGGGAGCAGGGCAAGGCCAUUUUCAGCCUGCAGCCCCCAUCCCUGACAGCACUUCUCUUUCUGCAGGGUGGCUCUGACCGAGCAGGAUCUGGAGGCAGCCUUUGCCCACCUGGCCCUGGCUUUUCGCUGCGACGUGUUCACCCUGCAGCAGCGGGUGCAGGUGGAGAGACGGGCACGGGAUGCAGCGGAGGAAAACAUCCAGGAGGAGCUGGGGCAGUGCCGGGCUGCCCUGGAGGUAGGUGGGCACCAGGGCAGGGGGCUGGCACGUCACCCAGCCCCGGAGGGGUGUGCAGAGCUCACAGUGGCAGCUCCAGCAGCUCCAUCCUUCCCCCCACAGAGGCUGGGCCGAUCGUGUGCCAGUGCAGGCUGCAAGGAGACGCUGGAGCAGCUGCAGCACAACCUGGCCGUGCUGGCAGCAGCUGUGGAGAGGGCAACCAGCGCUGCAGAGAAGCUGGGGGCUGUGCACCAGGUGUGUCACAGCCCGGUGUGGGAGCGAUGGAGGUGCUACAGAUGGGCUUGGGGAUGGUGAAGCCUCAUCCCUGGGCUUGCUGGGGUUUGUUCCUCCUCCUCACAGUUCUUGAUCUCACUUUUGUGCUUAGCAGGGUGCAAGGGAUCCAUUCACCCACCCCUGGGAGUGGGAAGGGGAUGCACCUUGGCCAAGGCUUUGCACAGGCACGUGGGGCUUCAAGCAGCUCUCUGUCCCCCUAGAUCUCUCCUAAAUUUCUUGUCCUGGACAAAAAAAUUCUCCUUCUGUCCUAAAUCUGUGUGUCCAUGGGCACCGGGACAGUCCCUUCACCCUGGGCUGGGAGAGGGACUUGGUGAACUUUCUGCAUCCUUCUCUGACUCUUUCAACAUUGUAAAACAGCUUAAAUGGGUUCUCCAAGCUCGCUUAUAUUUGGAAAUGUUUAAUAUGUGUCUCUCCCUGGCACUCCCUGUGUACUGGAGCCUUAGGCAGAGCCCUGUUGGUUAGGGCAUACAGCUGUUAACUAUCAUGGGAUCAAAGCCCAUCUGUCCAGUAAAUGGAAGGUCCUAGCUUAAUGAAAGCACCUGAGUUGCAUUUAAGGGAUGCAGGGUAAUGGCCUGUGGACUUUAGCAGAAACUAAAAGGGUUUUUAACUCUUGUUUAAGGCUUUGAAGACCUUCAGUUUAGGUAAUCCUAACUUUCUUAGAUAAUGGUAAGGAUUACAGGGGAGAGUGGAAGGACUCCCAGGGACGGGGAGGCACUGGCAGGGCUGGCUCCUAUGGAGGUUUAGGAGCCCUGAUCCCCAUCCUGGCUGGCUGCAGGAGGCCAGGAUGAGCCGGGCAGCAGAGGUGAUGGUGCAGCACGUGGAGAACCUGAAGCGGCACCACCAGCGGGAGCACGCGGAGCUGGAGGAGAUGAAGCGCCUGAUCCAGCAGAACUCCCGCAACCGGCAGCUGGCAGAGAGCCAGGGUGAGGUGGGCUCUGCCCCCGGGGCUGGGCACGGCUGGCACACUGCAAACGUGCAGCACUUGGCCCCCAGCCCCUCUUUGGGGCAGUGUGACCCCGCACUGCAGAGCCGGGGGUGCUGUGAGCUGAGGAGUGCUGGGGGGAACAGCUGAUGGGGCAGUGAAGGGAACAGCUGGGGACACUUGUGAGGGGACACUGGGAGAGCAGAUCAGUGUGGCAGCAGGUGCUGGUGGCCAGAGAGCCACAACCCAGCUGGGAAUGCAGGGCAGGGGGGCCCAUGCACAAAAAGGACUCUGUUCCCGAGCACCAAACCCCACAGGUGCCACUGUGUCCCCUUCCCUGGGCACCACCUGUGCCAAGCACAGAGCACACGGCCAGGACAGCUUUGUGUCUGUCUGUCUGUCUGUGCAUCAGCCCCAUCCUUGUGCUGGGGGAUGAUGUAAGGCAGCUUCUCUCUGCUCUCAGAUGAUGUGGAGCCACGGCUGAGACCUCACCCCCUGAAGAGAACUUUCCAGCAGGUAACUGGUCCCAUUUUGGGAGACUUGGAGCCACUGCCUGCCCAUGCCCUGCUGCCCUCCCUCAGCUGACUGUCCCCACACACCCCCUUGUCCCCAGACAAUGCCACUGCAGCCAGCUGCUUGCUGCAGGGAAGAUCUGCUGGGAUGAAGCAGAAUGCAGCUUCAGAGAGCUGUUGGCAGACAGACAGGAUGCCCAGCAAGCUGAGGGCUGCCUGUGCAAGAGAUCGUGGGCAGAUCCUUCUUCCAUUGCAGGGUCACAGGCUUGGCUGUUCUUUAGCACCUCCUUGAAUCCCACACUGAUCCAGAGGCAGGGCAGGGGGUCAGGCAGCCCCAGCAGCACUAAUGACAGGCACAAACCUCUUGGCUUUGACCUUCCCUGGCUUUCCAGCUUCCCCUCAGCUCCAGGGGGAGCUGGCAGUGUCCCAUGGUGUCCCUUACCCGUGCUGGGGAGGUGAUGGGGCAGGAGGAGGUGAGAAGCAGCAGCACAGAGCUCACCCUCACCCCCUCUGUUUCAGGGGUCUGCCCGCCGCAGGGUCAGCAUCGCCGUCAUCCCCAAGCAGCUCCUGGUAAGGAUGUGUGGGGUGGGGACAGCCAGAGGCCUGGGUGCCACUGGGGCUGUGUCCCCAGCCUGGGUGCCACUGGGGCUCUGUGUCCCCACUGAUGCUCCCCCCUUGUGUGCCCAGCCAGGUGCCAGCCCUGAGAGCCGAGCAGCCCCAGCAGGUGACCUGGAGCCAGAAGGUGCCCAGCGCUGGCCCAGCACCCCUAGGUAACUGCGCUGGGUGGCCGGGCAGCCCUGGCACAGCUGAUCCAGCUGUCCCCAUGUGGCACAGCACUGACCCAUCCUCUCCCUCCCCAGGAGUGAGCUGGAGCCACAGGGCCAGCACAGCGCCGUGACUGGGAAGCAGGUGGCAGAGGGCAGAGGAUCCAGCACAGGGAACGAGGAGCCAGAGCAGCUUGGGCUGACGUGAGCAGCACCCUGGGUGUGCCCAGCAUCCCCCCGUGGCUGCUGGCCUCUCUGUGCUCCCCAAGUGGCCAAAACUUGGGCAGAGGAUGGGGGGUUUAGGGGUGAAAAGCUGGGGUGUUGUUUGGCUGCCUCAGCUCAACCCCACCAGGCCUCAGUUUUGCCCACGCGCUCCCUCAGGCUUGUUCACUUGGGCUUGUAAAAGGUUUGCCAGGGAGUUUUGGGGCUGAGUUAAACAUCCUCCUUGUCCCCAGCUGGGGUGGAGGUGGGAUUUGCCCUCUCCCUUACGGAUGACAAGUGUCCCUGGUCACCUUCUCCCCAGGUCCAAGGGCUCUGCAGAGGAGCUCUGGCGUCCAUGGCUCUUCCUCCCACAGCACUACUGGGUUUUCUUCUGGCUGCUUCUGCUGAGCAUCGCCUUCCUCCUCCUCAUCCGCGUCCUGGAGCUGCAGAGGCUGCAGCCUGCAGCAUCACCCAAGGCCUAGCUGGACCAGGGAGGGGGAGCUGAGAGCCAUCUCUGCUCCUUCCCCAUGUCCCAACACAGCAAACCCCUAGAAUAAUAAAAUGGGA
Long non-coding RNA from Junco hyemalis (dark-eyed junco), 4236 nucleotides. Lineage: Eukaryota; Metazoa; Chordata; Aves; Passeriformes; Passerellidae. The record is from Ensembl.